CGGGUGCUUACACAUGCAGUCGAACGAUGAAAGCAGGAGCUUGCUUUUGCUGGAUUAGUGGCGAACGGGUGAGUAACACGUGAGUAACCUGCCCUUGACUCUGGGAUAAGCGUUGGAAACGACGUCUAAUACCGGAUACGAGCUAGGACCGCAUGGUCACUAGCUGGAAAGAAUUUCGGUCAAGGAUGGACUCGCGGCCUAUCAGCUAGUUGGUGAGGUAACGGCCCACCAAGGCGACGACGGGUAGCCGGCCUGAGAGGGUGACCGGCCACACUGGGACUGAGACACGGCCCAGACUCCUACGGGAGGCAGCAGUGGGGAAUAUUGCACAAUGGGCGCAAGCCUGAUGCAGCAACGCCGCGUGAGGGACGACGGCCUUCGGGUUGUAAACCUCUUUUAGCAGGGAAGAAGCGAAAGUGACGGUACCUGCAGAAAAAGCACCGGCUAACUACGUGCCAGCAGCCGCGGUAAUACGUAGGGUGCAAGCGUUGUCCGGAAUUAUUGGGCGUAAAGAGCUCGUAGGCGGUUUGUCGCGUCUGCUGUGAAAAUCCGAGGCUCAACCUCGGACCUGCAGUGGGUACGGGCAAACUAGAGUGCGGUAGGGGAGAUUGGAAUUCCUGGUGUAGCGGUGGAAUGCGCAGAUAUCAGGAGGAACACCAAUGGCGAAGGCAGAUCUCUGGGCCGUAACUGACGCUGAGGAGCGAAAGCGUGGGGAGCGAACAGGAUUAGAUACCCUGGUAGUCCACGCCGUAAACGGUGGGAACUAGAUGUGGGGUCCGUUCC
Molecule: ribosomal RNA, 783 nt
Filed under: uncultured bacterium
Lineage: Bacteria
Description: bacterial SSU rRNA
Rfam family: Bacterial small subunit ribosomal RNA
Source: RNAcentral